Long non-coding RNA from Folsomia candida, 2703 nucleotides. RefSeq lists it as uncharacterized. NCBI's taxonomy places the organism in Eukaryota, Metazoa, Arthropoda, Collembola, Entomobryomorpha, Isotomidae. The transcript has 2 exons. The record is from RefSeq and is a predicted model, not a curated record.
UGUUCAGUUCGUUCUCAGAGAGGUUUCCGUUUUAAACUGAAUGCGACUGAUCCUGAGAGAAAUGAUUUGGUAGGUUUAAAAUCCCUUAAAAUGGGUAUCAUACAUCUAAAUAUCAUCAACCCGUGAUCAGUGAACUGCUAAUGUUUCAGCCGGCCCAUCUCUCUGGUUGUUCUGGACCAUGGAAAAUUUGGGUGGAAGCUGUGAUGGGGGUGGAUAAAAAUGAAUGAGCAACACGACAGGAUGCCCACACGUCUCGAUUGUUGCUUCUCAAAUGAUUUCCACUUUGUUUUUUUUAGAAUUGUGCUAUCCUUCCUUUUCGUGCAUGCGUCUCACUUGCGAAGAAGAGGAAGGAUUUAUUCCCGAAUGGUUUCACGGCAGCUCUCAUACAUAAUUACGUACAUACAACAACCACAUUGAACUUGGUUGGCUGGAGGGUCGUUCUUUUGUGUUGUUAACUUCACAUUUUACCCACAAACACAAUUACUUUCGAGUAAAGUUAAGCCUGAUGGGAAGAAGAAAGUCUUCUGAGAGUUUCCGCUCAUGCUGUCGUUGAAGAUGAUGAGUUCUGGCUUCUACGUACACAUAGUUCCGAAAUUCGUUUACAUGGACUGUGCUGUAGCAGACAUGUACAUGUAUCAAGCAUUCUCGGGAUUUGAACUAUUAGUAUCUUCUAGAAAUUGAGAGGACUCUAAGAUGAGCAGAAGAACAUCUCCUUUACAUUUGAUUCGAUUUAAAUUUAUGCCGUAUUAGUACAUUCGAGUUUUAUUUCUGUGCAAUUAUCUCACGCAUGUUCGCUUUCAUACAAAUUUUCAUCCAUCCAUUUCCACGAACAUAGUGCAUUGGUGGGUAAUAACAAGACACUAACCCUGCGUAACCAAUAAUUAAGGUGAGUGCUGAAUGGGAAAAAAUAGCUCAUAACGUAGCAUCCGGUAAUUUACUUUCAAUUCUCCAUCACUAUUUUGUCCAUGGUUCCAGUAAGAAAAAUGAAUCCGGAGUAGGAAGAAAGGCCAUCCCAGAAACGGGGGCUAAUUAUGGAAAGGGGAAUCUCCCAUAAUUCGAUUUCACCCUCCUUUUUACCUGCCGCAGUUCCAGGCCGCAACACGGUGAAGGGUUGUCCUGCAGCACCUGAUUUAUUCACCGGAACUCCACCACCCCCUCUCUUUCUCCCAACAGCCCGAUGGAUUUAUUUCAAUUUAGCGAAUAUAUGGCAAUAGAAUAUGGUCAUGGUAUAUACUUAAACGUGGCAAAGUCUUCAUGCGACGCUAUAAAACCAACACUUGUGUCAAACCCAUCACACACACCUGUCCCCAUUCCAUUGUCAUUCAAAGUAAGCAAGUUGUUGUGCAUUGCGUAUGCAAAUUAAAGUGUAAAUAAAUACUACUAACGGUGCAAAAUAAGCUUGCAACCAGUGGAUGUCACAGAAAUAGAGACACCAAAACAUUGUUGCUGUUAGUUAAUAUUGCAACGGAAAGUGUGAAUUGCCGACUUUACAGCUUUACAAAUUGUACAUUGAAUCACUUUUCCAGAUGCAUAAAGUCGUGUCUGUUCUGUUGACUGAGAUUGAUACUGGGCUGUCAGGCACACUUUGCAUCUCAAUGAAUCUGCUUGUUUUGUUCUCCUCUCGAGGCGAAAACAUCAAUAACGAACAUAUUGAAUCAAUUUUAGAGCAAAAUUAUGGAAACCAGCAGAAAGAAACUAUGUUCUCGCUUUGCUGAACAACAUACAAAAAAUGCAUACUCCUCUUUUUUGGCUGGAAUUACAUCUUUUUUAUGCUAAACUUUUGGGGUUUUGCAUCAUUUCACUGCAUUGCAUUUGAUGUAUUCAGAACGAGUCGGAGCAAUGGAAUGAUAUAUGUGAUAUGAAGGUUGAUAAUUUAUGUGAGAACUUUAGGCAAUUGUACAUUCCGAUCCAGCCCACUUUCUGUGUGGUCAAUAUUCAAGGGAUAAAUUUGCUGAGGCGAAUCCAAAGUUUUGACCAUAUUCCUGGGAGGAACCGGAAAGAGAGAGCGAGAGAGCGAGUGUCUGGGAGUGAAAGCCAAUAAUAUCAUGUAUUCCGAGCUUAUGGGCCGAAUGCAUGGGUGGCUGAGACAAAAGGAGAUAGGAAUAAAUGAAACGAGGGGAAAAGAAGAAAGCUAGGCAAGCACGAAGAAGGAUGCGGAAAAGACGAGAAAGCAACUCUGGAUUUCAUCCUGAAAAGUAGUUUCGGUAACAAACCCAUAAAACAUCGUAAUGCUGAUUGUGAUUGCAAGGUGCAAGCAUCCCGACGACUGCCUGAACAGCUCACAUAAAUGAAAGAUUGCUUCCACCUUCCUCAGCAACGACCUCCUCCCUCGUCCAAGGGGGAGAAAUACAAAUAGAACAAACCGGGCUUCAAGCAGGACACUGGCCCAGAGACCUAUGACUUGCUAUUAGCAGUCAUCAUGUUAAUAAUAAUACGUACAUAGAAAUGACUACUUUUAUAGUGUCAAAACUUUCCAGUUUCGUCAAUUUGUCUUGAUUUUUUUUACAACUCAUUUUAGAAAUGGAAAGUGUAAUUUUAUCAAAAUUAUGAAAUCUUUCGUAAAGAAAGGAUUAAACUCAUUAGAUCACUGACGAUAUCAAACUUUAUUGGAGCACAUGUGACAUGGAGUACGGCCUGUUGAAUUCUAUGAUUAUAUUCUAUGAUUUAUAAACUAAUAAAAGUUUAACAUUGGUUGUAUAAAAA